Molecule: ribosomal RNA, 400 nt
Filed under: uncultured bacterium
Lineage: Bacteria
Description: bacterial SSU rRNA
Rfam family: Bacterial small subunit ribosomal RNA
Source: RNAcentral
GGGGAAUAUUGGACAAUGGGCGCAAGCCUGAUCCAGCAAUGCCGCGUGAGUGAUGAAGGCCUUCGGGUUGUAAAACUCUUUCGACGGGGACGAUAAUGACGGUACCCGUAGAAGAAGCUCCGGCUAACUUCGUGCCAGCAGCCGCGGUAAUACGAAGGGGGCUAGCGUUGUUCGGAAUUACUGGGCGUAAAGCGCGCGCAGGCGGCUAUCCAAGUCAGUGGUGAAAGCCCGGAGCUCAACUCCGGAACUGCCAUUGAAACUGUUUAGCUUGAGGACGAGAGAGGUGAGUGGAAUUCCCAGUGUAGAGGUGAAAUUCGUAGAUAUUGGGAAGAACACCAGUGGCGAAGGCGGCUCACUGGCUCGUAUCUGACGCUCAGGCGCGAUAGCGUGGGGAUCAAAC